CGUAACAAGGUCUCCGUUGGUGAACCAGCGGAGGGAUCAUUACCGAGUUUACAACUCCCAAACCCCUGUGAACAUACCUUAAUGUUGCCUCGGCGGAUCAGCCCGCGCCCCGUAAAACGGGACGGCCCGCCAGAGGACCCAAACUCUAAUGUUUCUUAUUGUAACUUCUGAGUAAAACAAACAAAUAAAUCAAAACUUUCAACAACGGAUCUCUUGGUUCUGGCAUCGAUGAAGAACGCAGCAAAAUGCGAUAAGUAAUGUGAAUUGCAGAAUUCAGUGAAUCAUCGAAUCUUUGAACGCACAUUGCGCCCGCUGGUAUUCCGGCGGGCAUGCCUGUUCGAGCGUCAUUUCAACCCUCAAGCCCCCGGGUUUGGUGUUGGGGAUCGGCUCUGCCUUACGGCGGUGCCGCCCCCGAAAUACAUUGGCGGUCUCGCUGCAGCCUCCAUUGCGUAGUAGCUAACACCUCGCAACUGGAACGCGGCGCGGCCAUGCCGUAAAACCCCAACUUCUGAAUGUUGACCUCGGAUCAGGUAGGAAUACCCGCUGAACUUAAGCAUAUCAA
Molecule: ribosomal RNA, 562 nt
Filed under: Fusarium avenaceum
Lineage: Eukaryota; Fungi; Ascomycota; Sordariomycetes; Hypocreales; Nectriaceae
Description: eukaryotic LSU rRNA
Rfam family: 5.8S ribosomal RNA (bases 194-347)
Source: RNAcentral